AACAUACAGAAUAAGAAAUGCUUGCACCUUUGAGACCGGCGGUACUUAAGCACCGAUCCCGGCUUAGGAUGUGGGGUUAAAAAGUACUUGAUAGAACUUUAGGCAAUCUUGAUGAAUUCCUGGCAAUUGAUAACAGCACCAAAUGCUGCAGCUUCAAAAUCCAAAUGCAAAAACGAUUAUUUUUCUAGAAUGUUCACAAGAUGAAUGAAUUCUUAUGUGAUUUGUGAUGUGUCUGGCAGCCUUUCUCUCUUCCUCCUGAGCAGUUAUCUGCGCCAGCAACAGGGCACAGGCACUUCUGAGCAUCCAGGGAGAUGGAUGCUAGCUCCCACAUAUCCAUCCCACAGUGGGAGAACACAUCCUAAGAAGACCCCCAAAUGACCACCCUCAGUCAAAUAAGGUCUGCUUAGGAAGAGGCAGUUAGUUGGAACACACUAACAUCUCAAAUCAAGAGGCUUUAAAAGCAGCAUAGACUUUCUCCACUCUAUUUUUGGAUUGUUUCGGACUGGCAGGUCCUUGGCCCAUCCUGGCGGCCCACACUUCAGAUCCUGCAGCUCACAGUCGCCUCCUGCUGGCUGGAAGGAACCGCGCAGUCCCUCUGAGAACUGGUCAACGGGGAAUGCCCACCCUUUUACCUUGUACAGAUCCGGAUGGUAUGUUGUCGUUGUGGGCCCAACAAGCGUGGUGUCUGAUGGGAUCCCGUUGGGUCCUGGCUGCCCAACGUCACCCUGCAGAUUGUUCAGCAAAAGCGACAGUUUUGAAUCAGAAGAAGGGGGACUUCACGCCGAUCGCAGUUCAUAUUUAUGUGCCUGUUUGGAUUGUUUUCUGAGGCGAAGUCAGGCCCGCGUCUCAGCCGGUGUUUAUCUAACAGCUCCUCUGAGGAGCAGCUGGGCUGGAGUCAGCCCUCCCUGACGCCUGGGACCAGCGAUGCAUGCGAGGAGCCACCCCACAAAUUCACACGCGUUUCCACACACAGCUCUUUCCUCUUGGCCCCAAGCAGCUGCGUCUCUUUCCCAGGGUCUCUCUCUUGCUACAGUGAGCAAGAGUCACACAGGACCCCUCCAGUCUCGCUCGGCAGUCUGCUGUCUGCCCCCUCCGAUGCUUAGAUAUCUUUUGAAAAUAAAAGCAGAACCUUUAAUUAAAUUCUGCUUCUCUUGCUUCGCCACCUGGCUGGGAGCUCAUAUCAAAGCACAGCAUGGCGGCCAUGGAGU
This is a long non-coding RNA of Peromyscus leucopus (white-footed mouse), 1208 nucleotides long. RefSeq lists it as uncharacterized. Lineage: Eukaryota; Metazoa; Chordata; Mammalia; Rodentia; Cricetidae. The record is from RefSeq and is a predicted model, not a curated record. The transcript has 3 exons.